Molecule: ribosomal RNA, 1735 nt
Filed under: Euretidae gen. sp. DVL-2014
Lineage: Eukaryota; Metazoa; Porifera; Hexactinellida; Sceptrulophora; Euretidae
Description: large subunit ribosomal RNA
Rfam family: Bacterial large subunit ribosomal RNA (bases 1182-1619)
Source: RNAcentral
AUUUUUUACAGAUAUUUAAAAUAAANUAAANUAAAAUAAANUAAAAAUNGUAAAACAAAACUAACAAAAUUAAAUCAUUAAUAACAAAAAAAUAAAAANNGAUCUUGUAUGUAAUAGAGAAUNGAAAACAAGAAAAAACCGCUAAUACUAAAGAAAAGAUUUAAAUAAAGGAAUUUACCCCUANUAACACAUUAAAUACACCUAUAUAAAAAGUACNNGAAAAGGAAAUUAAAAGAAAUCCAAGUAAUAUAAUAAACGAUCAAACAUUAUUCCUUUUGCAUCAGGAACUUAUAAGAAACCCCAUAAAUAAGUCAAACCACACAGCCCAAAAACAAUAAAAGAAAAAAAUUUAUAAUACCCGAAUUCUUGUGAUCUAACUACAGACAGUCAACCCAGGACGAAUUAAUAAAUGUUUCAAUAUUUUUAAACGAGCUGUAACUAGAAAAUGAAAAAUUAACCGGACAAGACUAUAACUGGUUUUCGACUAAAUAUAUAUAAGUAUAUUAACAAAAUCUAAAAAACACAAUAAAAGUAUAAACAAUUUUAAACACUAAUAUCAACCAGACUAGCAGUGAAAAGAUCUCCAGUCCAAACGGAAACAACCGCCUACUACAUUUAAAAUCCCAAAAUAAUAAAAAUAUACUCGUCAAUAUCAAAGAAAAAGUAGACCCACAAACAGCCAACUUCUAACAAAAACGUAACAGUUUAUAACAACAAUACCAAUAUAAAAAAUACACGAUACUUAAAAAUUAAAAAUUAGAAGAAAAAAAAGAUAAUCGAAUAAUCAAUAAACACUAUUCAAAAAACAAUAUAAGCACUAGUAAUAUAAACCAAAACCCAAAGGAAAAUAAACGGCCUUCAAUUAAAUAACAAGAAGAAACCCGACCCACUUCCCAACCGUACUCAAAACCAACACUGGUGGAAAAAAAGAUAAAGAAAAAAAAUCUCAAGGAACUAAGCAAACCAGAACUCGACUGUUUACCAAAAACAUAGCUACUAGAAAACAUUAUUAAUAGUGACGCCUGCUCAAUGGUUGACAAUAAACAACAAAACCAACUCAAUAGCUGCGGUAACAUUUAACCGCACAAAGGUAGCACAACAAAUAGCCUACUAAUUACAGGAUUGCAUGAAGGCAUAACGAAGCUCAAACUGUCUCAAGACCCCACUAUAAAAAAUAGAAUGUGUGUGCAAAUCCACACUAAAAUGGCAAGACGAUAAGACCCUAAGAACUUUACUCAAAGCUUCAACAAAACCAACUCAAAAAUAAAUAACAUAUUCAGAAAACAAUAAACUCAAGCAUUAAGUUCCGUUGGGGCAACGGUCUCAAAAAAAAUAAAUGAGAUUAAUUAAUCCACACUAAAAUAUUAAAAAACAAUAUUUAAAUUAAAUAACGAUAAGACCCAUUAACAAAAAAGAUUAAUGAACAAAAAAUAAAAGUUCCUUAGGGAUAACAGCGUAAUAUUGCCACUAAAGAUUUUCAAGCAAUGUUUGCGACCUCGAUGUUGAAUUGCUAUAUCCUAAAUGUAAAAGCAUUAAAGGGUUGGACUGUCCUUCCAUUAAAAAUAGCCCAUGAUUUGAGUUCAGACCGAGGCAACUCAGGUCAGAUUCUAUCUACCAUUAAACCAACAAAAUGAAAAAGAAAAAAGUACGAAAGGAAAAUUCUUAUAACCCCAAUAGUACACACACAGCCACGCCGAAUAAAAAAAAUUAUAAAUUCAACACCUCAAAUAAAACA